This is a long non-coding RNA of Mesocricetus auratus (golden hamster), 1279 nucleotides long. RefSeq lists it as uncharacterized. NCBI's taxonomy places the organism in Eukaryota, Metazoa, Chordata, Mammalia, Rodentia, Cricetidae. The transcript has 3 exons. The record is from RefSeq and is a predicted model, not a curated record.
UUUAUGACCUCAUCAAGAUGCCUUCACUACUCGUACUUAUUGUCACAGAAAUAAACAGCAACUCCUUCCUUUCUCACUCUCUUUAGACACAAGCAGCCUUGUCCUUCUCUUGAUAGAUGGUUCCCUAUCAAAAUUCACAAGUCAUUUGAGCCAGUUACUAGCAAUUGGUGUUUCUGUUUCUCCUACUAGAGACAAGUUAUUCCACAGCAGAACUCUGCAGUGCUUGGGAGGGAUGUAGUAGCUGUUACCACAGGAGAAAGGAAAGAAGAGGAACUCAAAAGCAUAUUUAGGAUAUGCCAUGAGGAAGACUGUACAGCAGUGCUUGUAAAGAAUUAAAGGGUGAAAUAACAAGAGAACCACAGUGGAGGAAAUGGUGUACAACUUUGUCAAUAUGGAUGAUUUCCUAUCAAACACUGGCUAUAUUUUCUGUCAUGAGUUUUAAAACCCUCUAAUGAAACUUAGUAUGUAACAUGCUUUUCACACUCAGCAACCUGGUUUGGAAUUCUGAUUAGUUAAAUAAAACAUGUUAUUUAGUUGUUUAAUAACUAUUUGUUAAAUGUAUAAUACUAAUCUAUAAAGUACCCUGGGUCAGAGAUUCUCUCUCUCUCUCUCUGUCUCUCUCUCUCUGUCUCUCUCUCUCUGUCUCUCUCUCUCUGUCUCUCUGUCUCUCUCUCUCUCUCUCUCUCUCUCUCUCUGUCUCUCUCUCUCUCUCUGUCUGGAAUCCAAAAGAGAUAUCUGUGCCCAGUAUAAAAUAGGUGUUCUGUAUUCAUUAUUACCUGAAUGGAUGAUAUAAAUAAUGUCUUACUAUUCAUAGAUGCUAUUUAGAUAUUUUUAGCUAUUUCUACAGGAAAGAACUCAUGGUAUAAACAUGGGCAUUUAUCCGGGUGGCUCUAAAUAUUGAAUCAUCAAAACAGAAGGAAACAGAAAAUCUGAAGGUCUGCAAUGUGGUUGAACAAGACGGCAGCCAGCCAGUCAACUCCCAGCUUUAUAUCUCUAAAGAACCUUCGUUACAAAAGACAGUAAGGCAAUUUCCUAAAGGCCUCUGUGUUGGAACACACAUGGACAGGCUGCUUUAAGUGCCCAUUAGUCUUCAAAUCUGAAAUAGAAUCCACCCUACACUGAAGAAGAAGGAUAAAAAAGCAUGAACUACCUCAAAUGAAAAACAGCAAAAUACAUCACGGAGUUCAAAUGGCAGAGUUGAGCAAGAUGGUCCCACUUCGUGCUACAUCAAUACAUCUCUAUAAUUUUAUAUGUGAAUGGGGCUCCCGAAUCCAGAAAU